CUGUACCUACGGGGGGCAGCAGUGGGGGAUAUUGCACAAUGGGGGAAACCCUGAUGCAGCGACGCCGCGUGUGGGAAGACGGUCUUCUGGAUUGUAAACCACUGUCCCCAGGGACGAAAAUGACGGUACCUGGGGAGGAAGCUCCGGCUAACUACGUGCCAGCAGCCGCGGUAAUACGUAGGGAGCAAGCGUUGUCCGGAAUUACUGGGUGUAAAGGGAGCAUAGGCGGGGAUGCAAGUUGGGUGUCAAAACUACCGGCUCAACCGAUAGUCGCACUCAAAACUGCAGCACUUGAGGGGAGUAGA
This 305-nucleotide ribosomal RNA is filed under the name uncultured bacterium. RNAcentral's name for it is "bacterial SSU rRNA". It matches the Rfam family "Bacterial small subunit ribosomal RNA", at positions 333 to 655 of the family's 1533-position model. The record is from RNAcentral.